UACGGGGGGGGUAAGCGUUGUUCGGAAUUACUGGGCGUAAAGGGCUCGUAGGCGGCCAACUAAGUCAGACGUGAAAUCCCUCAGCUUAACUGGGGAACUGCGUCUGAUACUGGAUGGCUUGGAUUCGGGAGAGGAAUGCGGAAUUCCAGGUGUAGCGGUGAAAUGCGUAGAUAUCUGGAGGAACAUCAGUUGCGAAGGCGGCUCUCUGGACCAGCACUGACACUGAGGCACGAAAGCGUGGGGAGCAAACAGG
This 253-nucleotide ribosomal RNA is filed under the name uncultured bacterium. RNAcentral describes it as "partial 16S ribosomal RNA". It matches the Rfam family "Bacterial small subunit ribosomal RNA", at positions 524 to 776 of the family's 1533-position model. The record is from RNAcentral.